AUCGUUUCGUCACGUGAUUUUUCUCAGUAAAUUAGGAUAUUUUUCUGUGAUCAACCAUUCAGAUUUUGACAUUGUUUUUUCGUUCAAUAUAUAUAACUUCAUGAAUGGUCUUAGCAUUAAUGUCGAAGGUUACAGUUUUGUUUGCAUGCAUCGUUUUAUAUAUCUUGACGUGAUGACGUCGUUAACAAAUGAUAAUAAUUAGUAAAAAAAAAAAAAGCAAGAGCUCUGUUUUUAAUUAGCAGUAAGUAGUGUGCAAUGUUUUAACUUUUAAGCAAGCACAUGGGACACAUACGGAUCAUGCGGUCCUUAGUUACUACUAUAUACUAGCUGGAUCGAAUUGCAUUAGUGUGAUCUUCGUUUCACUUUAU
This 368-nucleotide long non-coding RNA is filed under the name Capsella rubella. RNAcentral describes it as "long non-coding RNA (CRUB_LNC001085)". The record is from RNAcentral. Lineage: Eukaryota; Viridiplantae; Streptophyta; Magnoliopsida; Brassicales; Brassicaceae.